This is a long non-coding RNA of Humulus lupulus (European hop), 479 nucleotides long. RefSeq lists it as uncharacterized. NCBI's taxonomy places the organism in Eukaryota, Viridiplantae, Streptophyta, Magnoliopsida, Rosales, Cannabaceae. The transcript is spliced from 2 exons. The record is from RefSeq and is a predicted model, not a curated record.
AGAGCCAAACCACAUGCUUCCGCCAUGUUCUUCAGCUUCACUAACAGAUUCAAGUGGGUUGCCGCCGCCGCCGUCCAACGCUUGCACUACGUUUCCAUCUCUGUCAAACUUAACGGCAACCGGGUCUCGAAUCCAACUUGGAGACCUACCUAGUUGGGCGAAGAGUUCCAAGGUUUGUGCCUUGGGUCCUUGAAGCCAAUACCUGAAGAUUUUCAUUGUCGUAGACUCGGCUAGGAGGAGAAAUGACUUGUCGUUGCUUAGGGCCACACCAUCUGGAAAGGCCAGGCCUUUGAGCAAAACUGUUGUUUCAUUUGUUCGUGGAUCGUAUUGGAUUAGCCUUCCUGUUCUUUCUCUACUCAGUAAUGAAUAUAACCAUACCCUUUUCACCCAAAAAAAAAAUUCAGAUACAAAUAUUAGUUAUUGUUUACACAAAUUAAUGAAAUUGUGUGUAAUAUAUAUAAACUUGUAAUUUUUUAUUA